This 4336-nucleotide unclassified non-coding RNA is filed under the name Leishmania donovani. RNAcentral describes it as "gene:LdHU3.10.1290(CDS-product:hypothetical_prote in_conserved)". Lineage: Eukaryota; Euglenozoa; Kinetoplastea; Trypanosomatida; Trypanosomatidae. The record is from RNAcentral.
UCGAAGCAUAUAUACAUAUACAUAUCCGCACCUUCGCAUCUCCGCCCGUCUGUCCACGCGCACACGCACAGCGACGAGCAGCAGCCAGCUCUCGUCUCUUCCGCGCUGCCCUCUCCCCCCCCCCGACGUCGCUCUGUUGGUGCGGUAGGCGAUGCUCAGCCAUGAUGCGCAUCGCACCGCACACGCCCCCGCCUCACCCCGCGGGACUCAAUCGCAGCGAGCACAUCGAGGCAGGGCUUCCGGCGCGUCUGCAGGGAAGCAGCGGUGCUCCCAAGCCCACGAUGAGCAACAUGGCCCCUCCCGACCCGCGCCUUGGCCACGUGGCGGACACCACAAACGGAGGCAGCAGCAUCAGCGGUAUCCCCCACGAGGAGCCUGUGCGGCGUUCUUCGGAAGUGGCUGCCUCGAGCACGGCGGGGCGUUACGAAGCUGAGCAGAAGCCCUUCGUAGGCAUGUCUGCCAUCGCCCUCCAGCCACCGCCACCCUUUUCGAUGCGGCAUUCGACGGCUGCGCCAUUCUCCUCGUCCUCUGUCCAACUGAGCCCCUUCGGCGACCGUGCUGGCGGCGGCACAAACAACCACAGCAGCAGCAGCAGCAGCAGCAGCAGCAGCCACUCGGCUAGCCACACUUCAUCCCACUACCUCGUCGCCAUCCAGCGAGACCUCGAAAGCAUUGUGCGCCUCCAGCAACUGCAGCUGCGGGAGAGGAGGGUGUCGCUUCCAUCCGAAGCAAGCACUACAGGAAGUGUUCCGAGGGUGUGGAUUGGCUCCGAGAAGGUGGUGGCAGCUCCAUCAGCGACGGGCGCGCACUACCACAUCACCGCCUCCGUCGACAACGCUGAUUCGGCGAUGCACCUCCAGUCCAUCGACCAUGCAAUGCGAUCAUCGUUCGAAGGUGAAGCCGCGGCGCACGCACCCCCUCGCCAGCAGCAGUCACAGCAGCCGCUGCCCCUUUCGUAUCAUCCGCGCUUGACGGUGGCACCCGCCGGUGCUCACGCUGCGAAAGCGUCCGACGCGGCGCCGCAGCUGUCACUCGGCCCGUGGCAGUCGAGCUUGCAGGGCGACAACGACAUGCUUCUCUCACCGCCACCGCAUGUCGCCAGCGGGGCCAGCAUCUCCGCUGGUGCAGGCGGCUUCGUUAUGCAUCAGCAGCAACAACAGCAGCCGCCGCCACCACCGCCCUCAUCCUCUCCCAUUCCGGCCUCUCUCGUGGAGUAUCAACGUUAUCUCAUGCAACUGGAGCAUCAGCAGCGCCAGCACCGCGAAGUGCUGCGACGGCACCGCAAGCAGCGGAAGGAGGAGAUGAUGGCGGCCGCACAGCGUGGAGCAGCGAUGAUCACUGUGCCAGUGAGUAUGAAGACGCCACCACGGCAACGAACUGGCGUCGGUGCCGCGACCGAGGACCGACGCGACCGAAGCCCGCCACUCGCGAUGAUGAUGCAAACGUUACGGCAGCGCCGAGGCGACGGCCGCGGCAUCUACAGCGUCGACACGCUGUACGGUGACACCUCGUCCUCCGCCAGCAGUAAGACGGCGCCCUCGGCAAAGCAGCAGCGGGGCCGGCACUCGCAGAAACAGCGGCACCCCACGACGCCGUCACCAACCCCAGCAGCAGAAGCCCAGUUGCGCGACCGUAGCGGUGGCCGGCGAGCGAGCUCCAGGCGAGGUCGCUGUCGCGGUGCUGAGGGCGCCGGCCCGUCUGCGACCAGAAGGGCGGGAAUACCAGCCGUGGCGCUGAGAGACGCGCCAGCGCGCAGUGGGCAUCGUCAGAGUACACCGAAACAAGAACAGCGGCGGAAAUCAAAUGUGCGGAACAGUCCCGCCAACAGUCGCUCAAGAUAUGUGAGCCCGCAACGACUGGCGACCGCGGUGGGGAAAGGGCGGGAUGUUCAGCACUUGCUGCUGCACACGCCACCAUUGAUAACGGGCUCUCUUCCCAGGUCUUCCCUACUCGCAUCUGGGCCCACGGACGCAACGCCCCUGCGGGAGUACGCUGAAACGGCGACGCUGGCGCAUCCGCAGUCCUCCUCUCCGGUGGAGGCCUUCGCCGACGCGCUGCUGAUGGACGUGAACGGGGCACCCGGGACCGUCGGCGACGGCGCUUCCGCAGUAGGGUCGCUGCCGGCACCGCCACCACACUUGAUGGCCACACACUCCUUCGCCGGGACGGCCAUAACGAGAGAAACAACCCCCUACACGGCUGUCGGUGGCACAGCAACUGCGCCGGCGCCUAUCGUUUUCGCCAUCGCACCUAGCGGUGCGGUCGUCAUGCCCCCUGGCGACGUCGCGGACGACCAUCGGAGUGCGGCGGAGAUGGCGCCAGCAGCAGAACAGAAGUCCCGGCAUCACGGAAGCCGCGAUCAACACCAGGGCACGAGCGGGGAGAGCGAUCUCACCACCAUGACUACCACCACGCCUGCAUCGUCUACCGAGUCGUCGCCCUCACGUGAAAUGGGGGCACACACCGCGAGAGCGGAAGGAGGCGCCAGGAUGCAUGUGAAGGGCGGCGCCGCGACGCCUGCUGCGAUGCGUCCAUCGGCGGCCAUCGCUGCCAUCCUGCAGCACCCGGACGCCACAGCAACUGCGCACUCCCGCCGUCAGCAGCGCUCCCGCAGCGCUGAUCCGAUCCUCGUCCACGGCAACAACGGCUUUAGCUGGCGCCUGACGCGGCGUCGCAUCCGUGGCGCUGGAGCCACCACCACCGGGGCCGAGACCCACCACAACUACCCAGACGUUCAUCGCAAGACUCGCCACCACCUUCACAACGGUCAUCACCAUCGCUCCAUGGAGGGCAUCAGCAGCACAACACCCGAGCACGGCACGGGUACGCCGCGAAGCAGCCGCUACAGGUACAACAGCAGCAGCACGACACGACAGCGGAAACAGUCGCGGCAACUGUCAAAACACACUCCGCACAGCGCCAGCGGCGCGGAUACCCGCAGUGACGGUCAUGACGGGGGCAUCAAGCACCCCGUCGAUGCCGCGAAGCAGCGGCCCGCGAGUCCAGGAGGCGGUGGCAAGGCACAUGGACGUGCCAUGCCUGGCAACGGCAACCGUAAUGCGAUCACCGCUGCAGCAACACCUUCCUAUAGCUGCCCCGCAGGCGGUGAUGCGGUGAGCCGGCUAGCGCAUUCGCGGCCGCUUCCACCAUCGCGGAAAGCGGCCGCCAUCUGGCAGGACGUUAAACUCAUGUGGACCCCAGCGCCAGCAUCGCAGGCCCCCUUCGCCGCUGUCUACCGCUACCACCCUCACACGCACCCCCCGGCUUCCUUUCACGCACAACAGCAGCAGUCGCUGGUCUAUCGAGAUGUGUCGCCGUCCGCAUACGCGGGAAGAACUGCUGAAAUUGCGCGAGGCCACACAACAGGUCGUGCCUCAGCUGCAGCCGUGAGGGAUAGAGUAGCAUCACGAGCUCUGACAGGGGCUGCAGGAGCCUCGCCCUCCGCGCCGUCGCCGCCACCUGUUGCCCUCCCCCAUACACAGCAGCAGAUGGCAUCUGCCGGCGCACCACUUCUGUGCAUGACAGACAGCCUCAUCGGUGCUGCAUUGCGCGAUGUCCUGCCAGUGUGCCGAGCUCGUCAGCGCGAGGUGGCGCGUGAGGUGGCCCGUAGGCGAUACCAGAUUUUGCCGGCAGGCGUCGGUUGUGCCACCGCCUCGGCGACCGUGCUCUAGCUCGUUCGGCGCUGUCACCGUGCUGAACCUUAUUGCCCUUCCUCCACGCCGCCGCUUUUAGUGGCUCUCCCUGUGCGCCUGCGACAGCGGAGGGGGCGAAGCGGGGGGAUACGAUGGAUGCGCGCGCGUAUCGGUAUCUUGGUCGCUCUCCAGUCCACCCACCCACCCCUCCUGUUUCGUGGCCCUCGCAUCCUGUGUGUUCCUCCUUCCUUUUCCUUCCAACAACACCCACACACCACACACAUACACAAACGGCUGCCGUCCGCCGUCCACAACUUGCCAUCGCCACGGCGUAGACGUCCACUGUAUAUCACCCUCACCCCAAGAGCAAGACCAGCACGAGCAACACACACACACAUAAGCGCACACAGCAGGUGUGCAGAUAUGCGCGUGCGUGUAUGUACGUGUGUCUGUGUCCAUGUACGUGGUAAAGCAAGCCCAUACGAGCCCACCGGAGGAGAGGCGCAGGUUGUUCACAGCAUCGAUCUGGUAAUCCUGCGCUCCUUUGGCCGCCUCGGACCGUUCGCGCUCGGCAGACGCCAAUCCGUCUCCCGAGCCUCGCCUCACCGACUUCGAGCGGCGACUUGCACACCCGCUUCGCCUCCAUCACUCUUUUCCCAUCCUCGAUUGCUCGCCUCUCAACCCCACUCGCACACACGCCGCAG